RNAcentral lists this long non-coding RNA (488 nucleotides) under Equus caballus (horse). Its description in RNAcentral is "lncRNA (ENSECAG00000053685.1)". Lineage: Eukaryota; Metazoa; Chordata; Mammalia; Perissodactyla; Equidae. The record is from RNAcentral.
GCCAAAAGAAAAAUACUUCUGGCAGAGGAGAAGAGCUUAUAUUACGGGUCAACAGAAAUUCAGGGAGAGGAAGAAAUGGCUCACUGUCAUUGUCUCCAUGGUCUAUGAGGCCAGACUGGGAAAGAACCGCUCUCUAUUUUCCCAUCUCUUCAUCCAGUUGCUGAAGACUGAACUUGCUCUUGCUCCUUUCAGCCCCAGGAAGAACUGAGGAAAAAAAGCAAAAUUUCUCAUCUAUACCUUCAGAAGCAACAUGGCGUGGCAGAAAGGACAUCAGUAUUGGAAUCACACAGAAUGAGAUCCUGGCAGCAAAACGCAAUAGAGAAGAUCAGCUGCAUCUGGCCCAUCUAAGGAUAAAAAACAAGUGUGCAAAGACAUAGCCCCCCAGUACAUAGUUAUAUCUUCUAGUUGUUGGUCCUCCUGGUUGUGCUACGUGGGACACUGCCUCAGCAUGGCCUGAUGAGCGGUGCCAUGUCCAUGUCCAGGAUCCA